AGGACGAACGCUGGCGGCGUGCUUAACACAUGCAAGUCGAGCGGAAAGGCCUUUCGGGGUACUCGAGCGGCGAACGGGUGGGUAACACGUGAGUAAUCUGCCCAUCGCUUCAGGAUAGCCAUCGGAAACGGUGAUUAAUACUGGAUAUGACAUUCCUUCGCAUGUUGGGGUGUGGAAAGUUUUUUCGGCGGUGGAUGUGCUCGCGGCCUAUCAGCUUGUUGGUGGGGUAAUGGCCUACCAAGGCUUUGACGGGUAGCCGG
RNAcentral lists this ribosomal RNA (260 nucleotides) under uncultured soil bacterium. RNAcentral's name for it is "partial 16S ribosomal RNA". It matches the Rfam family "Bacterial small subunit ribosomal RNA", at positions 26 to 290 of the family's 1533-position model. The record is from RNAcentral.